UACGUAGGGGGCAAGCGUUGUCCGGAUUUAUUGGGCGUAAAGAGCGUGUAGGCGGCCAGACAGGUCCGUUGUGAAAACUUGAGGCUCAACCUCGAGACGCCGAUGGAAACCGUCUGGCUAGAGUCCGGAAGAGGAGAGUGGAAUUCCUGGUGUAGCGGUGAAAUGCGCAGAUAUCAGGAGGAACGCCGGAGGCGAAAGCGAGUGACUGGCGCGUUCCUGACGCUGAGGUGCGAAAGCUAGGGGAGCAAACAGG
This 253-nucleotide ribosomal RNA is filed under the name uncultured bacterium. RNAcentral describes it as "partial 16S ribosomal RNA". It matches the Rfam family "Bacterial small subunit ribosomal RNA", at positions 524 to 776 of the family's 1533-position model. The record is from RNAcentral.